RNAcentral lists this transfer RNA (71 nucleotides) under Llanolebias stellifer. Its description in RNAcentral is "tRNA-Gln". Lineage: Eukaryota; Metazoa; Chordata; Actinopteri; Cyprinodontiformes; Rivulidae. The record is from RNAcentral.
UAGAAAGUAGUGUACAGGAUGCACGAGGAGUUUUGAUCUCUUUAGAUUAGGUUCGAAUCCUUUCUUUUAGG